Molecule: ribosomal RNA, 497 nt
Filed under: uncultured Actinomycetes bacterium
Lineage: Bacteria; Bacillati; Actinomycetota; Actinomycetes
Description: bacterial SSU rRNA
Rfam family: Bacterial small subunit ribosomal RNA
Source: RNAcentral
UUAGGAAUCUUGCGCAAUGGACGAAAGUCUGACGCAGCGACGCCGCGUGCGGGAUGAAGGCCUUCGGGUUGUAAACCGCUUUCAGCAGGGACGAAAUUGACGGUACCUGCAGAAGAAGCCCCGGCCAACUACGUGCCAGCAGCCGCGGUGAUACGUAGGGGGCAAGCGUUGUCCGGAUUUAUUGGGCGUAAAGAGCUCGUAGGUGGUUCGGUAAGUCGGAUGUGAAAUCUCCAGGCUCAACCUGGAGGGGUCAUUCGAUACUGCCGUGACUAGAGGUCGGUAGGGGAGUGUGGAAUUCCUGGUGGAGCGGUGAAAUGCGCAGAUAUCAGGAGGAACACCCGUAGCGAAGGCGGCACUCUGGGCCGAUACUGACACUGAGGAGCGAAAGCGUGGGGAGCGAACAGGAUUAGAUACCCUGGUAGUCCACGCCGUAAACGUUGGGCACUAGGUGUGGGACUCUAUCGACGGGUUCCGUGCCGUAGCUAACGCAUUAAGUG